AUGCUUAACACAUGCAAGUCGAACGGUAACAGGCCUUCGGGCGCUGACGAGUGGCGGACGGGUGAGUAACGCGUAGGAAUCUGCCUUAUAGUGGGGGACAACGUGGGGAAACCCACGCUAAUACCGCAUACGCCCUACGGGGGAAAGCGGGGGAUCGUAAGACCUCGCGCUAUGAGAUGAGCCUGCGUUAGAUUAGCUAGUUGGUAGGGUAAAGGCCUACCAAGGCGACGAUCUAUAGCUGGUCUGAGAGGACGAUCAGCCACACUGGGACUGAGACACGGCCCAGACUCCUACGGGAGGCAGCAGUGGGGAAUAUUGGACAAUGGGCGCAAGCCUGAUCCAGCAAUACCGCGUGUGUGAAGAAGGCCCUAGGGUUGUAAAGCACUUUCAAUGGGGAGGAAAACCUGCCGGUCAAUACCCGGUAGCUUGACAUUACCUAUAGAAGAAGCACCGGCUAACUCCGUGCCAGCAGCCGCGGUAAUACGGAGGGUGCGAGCGUUAAUCGGAAUUACUGGGCGUAAAGCGUGCGUAGGCGGUUCGUUAAGUCAGAUGUGAAAGCCCUGGGCUCAACCUGGGAACUGCAUUUGAAACUGACGGACUUGAGUUGAGUAGAGGGGAGUGGAAUUUCAGGUGUAGCGGUGAAAUGCGUAGAUAUCUGAAGGAACACCAGUGG
Molecule: ribosomal RNA, 673 nt
Filed under: uncultured Gammaproteobacteria bacterium
Lineage: Bacteria; Pseudomonadati; Pseudomonadota; Gammaproteobacteria
Description: bacterial SSU rRNA
Rfam family: Bacterial small subunit ribosomal RNA
Source: RNAcentral